This 942-nucleotide unclassified non-coding RNA is filed under the name Zea mays. RNAcentral's name for it is "misc RNA Zm00001eb021490". Lineage: Eukaryota; Viridiplantae; Streptophyta; Magnoliopsida; Poales; Poaceae. The record is from RNAcentral.
UUGUAUGGAGUACCUCCUUAUGUUCCAUAUGCUCCAUCUCCGUAUGGAGCACCUCAUCCAUAUGCUCCACCUUCGUAUGGAGCACCUCCUCCAGUUGCACCUUUAUCUGUUGGAUCCAAAAACCAAGCUGAGGAAAAUCCUGUGCCGAAGGAAAAGUGCCCCAAAAGGCUAGAUUGGACGACUACCGACGAGAAAAAGUUGGCCAAUGCUCGGAUUAUGCAUUCUAAUGAUCCCAUCUCCGGCAACAAUAAGAGUGAAUCAAGUUUCUGGGGUCAAAUAGCGGUAGCAUAUAACUCCAUCUCCGACCCUCUCCGUCGUCAAACCGGCAAGCAACUUAAAGAUCAUUGGGUCACCUACAACCGGGAGGUGACCAAGUUCAAUGGAUACUACCUCAAAGAAGAAAGGUUGCGUCAGAGCGGAACAAACGAUGCAAUGGUCAUGGAGGCAGCAGUGGCGAGGUUCGAGGGUAAAAUGGGGCAUCCAUUUAAGCACCAUCACUGGUGGCAAGUUGUUCGCCACGAGCCCAAGUGGUCAGCAAAGCAUAGUCUUGGUAGUGGAUUUGACACGACUGUGAAUAAGAGAACCCGAGUCGGAGUAUCUGGUGAAUAUAGUUCUGGAGGCACUGAAGACACCGAGGAGGAAGUGCCUCGACCAGUGAGGCGUUAUAGUGCAAAGGCAGCUACGCGAAAGACAAAGACGAAGGGGAAAAGGAAGGAACCCACGAGCAGCGGAUCAACAAGUGAAGCAUUCAAAAUGAAGAACAUGUGGGGUGGAUUAGUGAAGGCCAAACUUUUGAAGCAAUGGAACAUCCUAAAGGGCCGAUCAACCAGGGAUAUGAACCCGGCUGAAAGACGUAUCCAUGCCGGAGCUGUAAAGAUGGUCGAAAAAGAAUUUGGUUUGGUAGAUGACAAAGAAGAGAAAUCGGAAGCAGGACGUGAAUAG